GCUGGGCACAGUGGCGUGUGCCUGUAGUCCCAGCUACUCAGGAGGCUGAGGUGGGAGGAUCACUUGAGCCCAGGAAGUCAAGGCUGCAGUGAGCUGUGAUCACGCCACUGCACUCUAGCCUGGGUCACAGAGUGAGACCUUGUCUCAA
RNAcentral lists this signal recognition particle RNA (148 nucleotides) under Pan paniscus (pygmy chimpanzee). RNAcentral's name for it is "Metazoan signal recognition particle RNA". It matches the Rfam family "Metazoan signal recognition particle RNA". From Rfam's summary of the family: The signal recognition particle (SRP) is a universally conserved ribonucleoprotein. It is involved in the co-translational targeting of proteins to membranes. The record is from Rfam by way of RNAcentral. Lineage: Eukaryota; Metazoa; Chordata; Mammalia; Primates; Hominidae. RNAcentral also lists the same sequence under 1 other name.